Molecule: small nuclear RNA, 106 nt
Filed under: Sciurus vulgaris (Eurasian red squirrel)
Lineage: Eukaryota; Metazoa; Chordata; Mammalia; Rodentia; Sciuridae
Source: RNAcentral
GUGCUGGCUUCGCAGCACAGGUACUAAAAUUAAAACGAUACAGAGAAGAUUAGCAUGUCCCCUGUGCAAGCAUGACAUGCAAAUCCGUGAAGUGUUCCAUAUUUUU